GGCCGGUUAGCUCAGUCGGUUAGAGCGUGGUGCUGAUAACACCAAGGUCGUGGGUUCAAUUCCCCUUCGGUCC
RNAcentral lists this transfer RNA (73 nucleotides) under Apaloderma vittatum (bar-tailed trogon). It matches the Rfam family "tRNA". Rfam says of the family: Transfer RNA (tRNA) molecules are approximately 80 nucleotides in length. Their secondary structure includes four short double-helical elements and three loops (D, anti-codon, and T loops). The record is from Rfam by way of RNAcentral. Lineage: Eukaryota; Metazoa; Chordata; Aves; Trogoniformes; Trogonidae.